Molecule: long non-coding RNA, 490 nt
Organism: Gossypium arboreum
Lineage: Eukaryota; Viridiplantae; Streptophyta; Magnoliopsida; Malvales; Malvaceae
Exons: 2
Source: RefSeq, a predicted model, not a curated record
AAAACAAAAAGAAAGAAUAGAAUAGAAAUAGAAACAGAAAGCCAAACGAAACAGAGAGUAGGGAAGGAAAGAAAAGAAAGAAAGGGAGAAAAGGAAAAAUUUAGAUUUCAAGGUUUGGAAGUUUAAUUGGUUAAGGCUAGACCGUUGAAUUAACAUCCCAGGCCGAUCCCGAAUUCAAUGAGGUAAAGCAUGUUGAGUAUUGGUAAUGGCAUGUACCUAGGACGUCUUAUGAGAGUCAUCUAGGUUGUGAAAGUCUUGAUGAAAUAAGUAAAUUAUGGUUGUUAAUGGUAUAUAGUAUGAAGUUGAAAUAAUUGAUAUAGUAAGUGAUAUACUUAAAAAGAUAAAUUGGAUAGGUUAUAAAAUGUUUUAGAUUGGUAAGAUUUGAGCAUAUUUAAGUGUAUUUGGAUUGUUUGAAUGUUAGAAAAUUGUAUUGGUUGUGUAUUGGUUGAAGUUUUAAUUUGCAGAGUUAGAAACAUUUAUUUUUAAUAAA